AUGUUGAAGAAAAAUCUCGGGCUAAAGAUACUACUGAAAAAGGAGUAUUUCAAUCAUCUUCGUGGUGGAUUGAUUCGGGUCGCAAGGGAUUCUUCCGUCCUAAUGGGGAAUGGGUCACAUGCUUCUGUUCGUGGCAUUGGCACGGUGGAUCUGAAGUUUACUUCGGGAAAGAUCGUGCAACUAAGGAACGUGCAGCAUGUCCCUACUAUGAACAAGCAUCUAGUUAGCGGCUCCCUUCUAUGUCGAGAUGGAUUUAAGGUAGUUUUAGAGUCCAAUAAAGUAAUCGUGUCAAGAUUUGAACAAUUUAUAGGAAAAGGCUAUGAGUGCGGAGGCUUGUUCCGUUUUUCUCUUUCAGAUUUUUGCAAUAAGUCAAUAAACCAAAUUUGUGCUAGUGUUAAUGAUGAUGCAAGUAUUUGGCACUCUCGUUUAUGUCAUAUUAAUUUUGGUCUAAUGUCUCGGCUAUCCAGCAUGAGUUUAAUUCCGAACUUCACAGUUGCCAAAGGUUCUAAGUGCCAUAGUUGUGUGCAAUCUAAGCAACCUCGAAAGCCUCAUAAGGUUGCCGAGGAGAGAAACUUGGCACCUCUAGAACUCAUACAUUCUGAUGUUUGUGAGAUGAAUGGUGUGUUGACAAAAGGUGGAAAGAGAUAUUUCAUGACUUUGAUUGAUGAUGCGACUAGAUUUUGCUAUGUUUAUUUGUUGCAAACUAAAGAUGAAGCAUUAGACUACUUUAAAAUCUAUAAAGCUGAAGUUGAAAAUCAACUAGAGAGAAAGAUCAAGCGUCUUAGGUCCGAUCGUGGUGGAGAGUAUUUUCCAAAAGUUUUUGAUGAAUUUUGUGAGGAACAUGGUAUUGUUCAUGAGAGGACGCCUCCCUAUUCACCUCAAUCAAAUGGAGUGGCCGAGAGGAAAAACCGCACAUUGACUGACUUGGUGAAUGCCAUGUUAGACACUGCUGGUUUAUCUAAGGCAUGGUGGGGGGAGGCUCUAUUGACUUCAUGUCAUGUCCUGAAUAGAGUUCCCAACAAUAAUAAGGAGAAAACCCCUUAUGAGGAGUGGGUUGGGAGAAAACCAUCACUUUCUUGUUUGCGCACUUGGGGAUGUUUGGCAAAGGUCAAUAUUCCUAUUCCUAAGAAACGCAAACUUGGACCAAAGACAGUGGAUCGUGUCUUUCUAGGGUAUGCUCAACGGAGCAUUGCUUAUAGGUUUUUAGUGGUAAAAUCCGAAGUACCUGAUAUGCAUGUUGAUACUAUAAUGGAAUCUCGUGAUGCAACAUUUUUUGAGAACAUAUUUCCUAUGAAAGAUAUGCAUAGCAUUGCUAGAUUUUCUUCUGAGAUAAUUCCUGAAUCUAGUACAACUGAUGAAUAUUUCGAACAAUCACAUGAGGAAGUCCUUGAGAAGGAUAACAAUGAAGUUCCUAGAAGGAACAAGAGACAAAGGAUUGCAAAAUCCUUUCGUGAUGAUUUCAUUGUAUACCUUGUGGACGACACACCCAAGACGAUUGCAGAAGCAUAUGCAUCUCCGGAUGUAGAUGAUUGGAAAGAAGCUGUUCAUAAUGAGAUGGACUCAAUUCUUUCUAAUGAAACUUGGGAACUAACUGAUAGACCAUAUGGUUGUAAACCUGUGGGCUGUAAGUGGGUGUUCAAAAAGAAGCUAAAGCCUGAUGGUACUAUUGAUAAGUACAAGGCGAGGCUAGUGGCCAAGGGCUACACUCAGAAAGAAGGCGAAGAUUACUUUGACACCUAUUCACCCGUUGCUAGAAUGACCACCAUUCGAGUGUUACUUUCCUUGGCUGCCUCUUAUGGUCUUAUCAUUCAUCAAAUGGAUGUAAAGACAACUUUUCUCAAUGGAGAGUUGGAAGAGGAGAUCUAUAUGGAUCAGCCUGACGGGUUUGUGGUAAAGGGUGAAGAGAGAAAGGUGUGCAAGUUGUUAAAAUCUUUGUAUGGUCUGAAACAGGCACCUAAGCAAUGGCAUGAGAAGUUUGAAAGAACUCUGACUUCUGCAGGAUUUGUGAUUAACGAGGCUGAUAGGUGUGUUUACUAUCGCCAUGGUGGGGGCAAUAGUGUCAUAUUAUGUUUGUAUGUGGACGACAUACUGAUCUUUGGUACAAACAUUAAUGCAAUUAAUGAGGUCAAGUCUUUUCUAUCAAAAAGUUUUGACAUGAAAGAUCUGGGAGAAGCCGAUGUAAUUCUAAACAUGAAACUUAUUAAGGAUAAGAGUGGGAUUACAUUAACGCAAUCUCACUAUGUUGAGAAGGUCUUGAACCGAUUCGGUUUUAUGGAUAGCAAGCCUUCUCCAACACCUUAUGAUCCCAGCGUGACACUCAGAAAGAACAAGAAAGAAACGAGAGAUCAAUUAAGAUACUCUCAAAUUGUCGGUUCAUUCAUGUACUUAGCUAGCGCUACAAGACCAGAUAUCUCUUUUGCUUUGAGCAAACUGAGUAGGUUCAUGUCCAACCCGGGUGAUGAUCAUUGGCAUGCACUAGAAAGGGUCUUGCGCUAUCUGAGAGGUACUAUGAGUUACGGAAUUACUUAUUCAGGGCAUCCUGCUGUGCUAGAAGGAUAUAGUGAUUCAAAUUGGAUCUCCGAUAUUGAUGUACUUUACGCAACAAGUGGGUAUGUAUUUACUCAUGGUGGUGGCGCAGUGUCAUGGAGGUCUUGCAAGCAAACCAUAUUGACAAGGUCAACUAUGGAAGCAGAAUUAACUACUUUGGACACAGCUACUGUUGAGGCAGAAUGGCUGCGUGAGCUCUUGAUGGACUUGCCGGUUGUUGAAAAACCUGUACCGGCUAUUCUUAUGAAUUAUGAUAACCAAACACGUGAAAAGACGUUUGAAGUCUGUCAGGAAGUUGAGAAACUUCGGAGUAAUAACUGUUAUGUAUAUACAAACAGACAAAAACCUGGCAGAUCCCUUUACAAAGGGACUAUCACGAAAUGUGAUAGAUAUUGCAUCGAGGGAGAUGGGUAUGAGACCCAUAGAUGUUACACCAUAGUAAUAACCCAACCUUUGUGA
This 3006-nucleotide ribosomal RNA is filed under the name Triticum aestivum (bread wheat). Its description in RNAcentral is "partial small subunit ribosomal RNA". Lineage: Eukaryota; Viridiplantae; Streptophyta; Magnoliopsida; Poales; Poaceae. The record is from RNAcentral.